RNAcentral lists this ribosomal RNA (467 nucleotides) under uncultured bacterium. Its description in RNAcentral is "partial 16S ribosomal RNA". It matches the Rfam family "Bacterial small subunit ribosomal RNA", at positions 29 to 507 of the family's 1533-position model. The record is from RNAcentral.
ACGAACGCUGGCGGCGUGCUUAACACAUGCAAGUCGAACGGAAAGGCCCUGCUUUUGUGGGGUGCUCGAGUGGCGAACGGGUGAGUAACACGUGAGUAACCUGCCCUUGACUUUGGGAUAACUUCAGGAAACUGGGGCUAAUACCGGAUUGGAGCUCCUGCUGCCUGGUGGGGGUUGGAAAGUUUCGGCGGUUGGGGAUGGACUCGCGGCUUAUCAGCUUGUUGGUGGGGUAGUGGCUUACCAAGGCUUUGACGGGUAGCCGGCCUGAGAGGGUGACCGGCCACAUUGGGACUGAGAUACGGCCCAGACUCCUACGGGAGGCAGCAGUGGGGAAUAUUGCACAAUGGGCGGAAGCCUGAUGCAGCAACGCCGCGUGCGGGAUGACGGCCUUCGGGUUGUAAACCGCUUUCGCCUGUGACGAAGCGUGAGUGACGGUAAUGGGUAAAGAAGCACCGGCUAACUACGUG